GAUGAACGCUAGCGGCAGGCUUAACACAUGCAAGUCGAGGGGCAGCAUGACACGGAGAUUUGUCGAAGUGUUGAUGGCGACCGGCGCAAGGGUGCGUAACGCGUGAGCAACUUGCCCGUUUCUGGGGCAUAACCGGUGGAAACGCCGACUAAUACCCCAUAGUAUUGGAUUUAGGCAUCUUUAUCCAAUUAAAGAAAUUCGGAAACGGAUAGGCUCGCGUGACAUUAGCUAGAUGGCGGGUAACGCCCACCAUGGCGACGAUGUCUAGGGGUUCUGAGAGGAAGGUCCCCCANACUGGAACUGAGACACGGUCCAGACUCCUACGGGAGGCAGCAGUGAGGAAUAUUGGUCAAUGGUCGGAAGACUGAACCAGCCAUGCCGCGUGAAGGUCACGGCCCUAUGGGUCUUAAACUUCUUUUUGUAAGGGAGCAAAUAAGGGUUCACGUGUGGACUGAUGAGAGUACCUUACGAAUAAGCAUCGGCUAACUCCGUGCCAGCAGCCG
RNAcentral lists this ribosomal RNA (503 nucleotides) under uncultured bacterium. RNAcentral's name for it is "bacterial SSU rRNA". It matches the Rfam family "Bacterial small subunit ribosomal RNA", at positions 28 to 517 of the family's 1533-position model. The record is from RNAcentral.